GAUGAACGCUGGCGGCGUGCCUAAUACAUGCAAGUCGAGCGAACGGACGAGAAGCUUGCUUCUCUGAUGUUAGCGGCGGACGGGUGAGUAACACGUGGAUAACCUACCUAUAAGACUGGGAUAACUUCGGGAAACCGGAGCUAAUACCGGAUAAUAUUUUGAACCGCAUGGUUCAAAAGUAAAAGACGGUCUUGCUGUCACUUAUAGAUGGAUCCGCGCUGCAUUAGCUAGUUGGUAAGGUAACGGCUUACCAUGGCAACGAUGCAUAGCCGACCUGAGAGGGUGAUCGGCCACACUGGAACUGAGACACGGUCCAGACUCCUACGGGAGGCAGCAGUAGGGAAUCUUCCGCAAAGGGCGAAAGCCUGACGGAGCAACGCCGCGUGAGUGAUGAAGGUCUUCGGAUCGUAAAACUCUGUUAUUAGGGAAGAACAUAUGUGUAAGUAACUGUGCACAUCUUGACGGUACCUAAUCAGAAAGCCACGGCUAACUACGUG
This 497-nucleotide ribosomal RNA is filed under the name uncultured bacterium. Its description in RNAcentral is "partial 16S ribosomal RNA". It matches the Rfam family "Bacterial small subunit ribosomal RNA", at positions 28 to 507 of the family's 1533-position model. The record is from RNAcentral.